CCAGCAAGCGCGAGUGCGCAAACUCCGCCUCGCGUUCGGUCCCGCCCCCGGCCUUCCAGAGACUGCCGCUCCCGACAGUUGGGCUCGAGCGCGGCCUCCCGGCUGGCCGCAAACGCUGCACCCGGUCACUGCGCAGGCGCGGGGCGUGCACUUCCCGCUUCCUCCGCGCGGAACCUGGCCCCCUCCGCCGCUCUGUUCUUGUCAGCCGAGGACACUUACACCUCGAAGAUUCGGGCGCGCAGACACUGCUCCACACACCGGGGAACGCAUCGAGGACGCGGGCUCGGCGCGCCAUUGUGCACAAAGCCAGUCCCCUUGCAAACACACCUGUCCAGGUACACACGCCAGGUGGGCUUCACCUGGACACAGGCGGGUACUAUCAUGCCUUAUCAUCUCUCACACAAGAACGCACACACUGAACACCCAAAAAACAUCCAGAGACCCUGGGGCCGCCGGCCCCUCCGCGAACAGAGACACGUUCAGUUGGCCAACAAUGGGGAUGAACUGGUGUGUGCCUUCGGGAGCCUGGGCUCUGGAAAGAGGGGCAGGUAAUAAGCGAACACUAAGACGCGCGAAGCGCUGUGAAGUGACGCCGCUGGGGGACGGGGACGGAAGGAGGUGCGAUCGGACUCAGGGAAGAAGCUGGGAGAGGAGCUGCGUUCUGCACGGGGACACUGGCACCCGCACGGCCGCGGAGGCUGAAACCCUCUGGGCAUGUUUGCCGACCAAGAAAAGGGAGUGGCGUCGCAGCAGCUCCGGAAGUGAGAAGGGCGAUCUGGGAAGGAAGCGGUCCGCAGCACUGUACCCAGGGCCUCGCAAGUGUCUUCAUCUUGCCGCAGGGAUAAGAAGACGCGUCUGUCCUACCAGACCAUCCCCAGGCCUUCACGGCGGCAGGCACACCAUGGCCUGCGGGUCUCCAGGGAGAAUGACUCAAGUCCACAGACAAUCAGCAAGCCUCCAGGAUGGAGGGACACCUGCAGGAUGGCGGCCCACAGCCACUGCGCCAUCUAGCUCAUGGCAGAGAGACCACGUAUUUGGACAUCAGUUGCCCAAACCGUCAUCUGUAAAACAGGUGUGA
RNAcentral lists this long non-coding RNA (1078 nucleotides) under Ursus thibetanus thibetanus. RNAcentral's name for it is "lncRNA (ENSUTTG00000020542.1)". The record is from RNAcentral. Lineage: Eukaryota; Metazoa; Chordata; Mammalia; Carnivora; Ursidae.